AAUCAACGCUGGCGGCGUGCCUCAGACAUGCAAGUCGAACGAUUAAACUUUCCUUCGGGAAAGAUAUAAAGUGGCGUACGGGUGAGUAACACGUAAGUAAUCUACCUUUGAGUGGGGAAUAACUUAAGGAAACUUAAGCUAAUACCGCAUAAUGCAGCGGCAUCAUAUGAUGACAGUUGUUAAAGAAUUUAUUCGCUUAAAGAGGAGCUUGCGGCAGAUUAGCUAGUUGGUAAGGUAAUGGCUUACCAAGGCAACGAUCUGUAGCCGACCUGAGAGGGUGGUCGGUCACACUGACACUGAAUAACGGGUCAGACUCCUACGGGAGGCAGCAGUCGGGAAUUUUGUGCAAUGGGGGAAACCCUGACACAGCAACGCCGCGUGAAGGAUGAAGUCUUUCGGGAUGUAAACUUCGGAAAUAUAGGAAGAAUAAAUGACGGUACUAUAUCUAAGGUCCGGCUAACUACGUGCCAGCAGCCGCGGUAAUACGUAGGGACCAAGCGUGUCGGAUUUACUGGGCGUAACAGGGUGCCGUAGGCGGCCGUGAUAAGUCACUUGUGAAAUCUCCGNAGCUUAACUCGGAACUGCCAAGUGAUACUAUUGUGCUAAGAGUUACAGGAAAAGGGUUAACCUGCGAAAUUCCUUGGGUGUAGCGGGUGAAAUGCNUUAGGAUAUCAAGAAGGAACACCCUGAAGGGCNAGGGCGAGUUACUAGGGUUGGAAUACU
This 723-nucleotide ribosomal RNA is filed under the name uncultured bacterium. RNAcentral describes it as "bacterial SSU rRNA". It matches the Rfam family "Bacterial small subunit ribosomal RNA", at positions 28 to 741 of the family's 1533-position model. The record is from RNAcentral.